AAUCAACGCUGGCGGCAUGCCUUACACAUGCAAGUCGAACGGUAACGCGGGGCAACCUGGCGACGAGUGGCGAACGGGUGAGUAAUAUAUCGGAACGUGCCCAAUAGUGGGGGAUAGCCCGGCGAAAGCCGGAUUAAUACCGCAUACGACCUGAGGGUGAAAGCGGGGGAUCGCAAGACCUCGCGCUAUUGGAGCGGCCGAUAUCAGAUUAGGUAGUUGGUGGGGUAAAGGCCUACCAAGCCUACGAUCUGUAGCUGGUCUGAGAGGACGACCAGCCACACUGGGACUGAGACACGGCCCAGACUCCUACGGGAGGCAGCAGUGGGGAAUUUUGGACAAUGGGCGCAAGCCUGAUCCAGCCACGCCGCGUGCGGGAAGAAGGCCUUCGGUUGUAACCGCUUUGUCAGGAAGAAAUACUUCUGGGUUAAUACCUCGGAGGAUGACGGUACCUGAAGAAUAAGCACCGGC
Molecule: ribosomal RNA, 468 nt
Filed under: uncultured bacterium
Lineage: Bacteria
Description: bacterial SSU rRNA
Rfam family: Bacterial small subunit ribosomal RNA
Source: RNAcentral